This 613-nucleotide long non-coding RNA is filed under the name Betta splendens (Siamese fighting fish). Its description in RNAcentral is "lncRNA (ENSBSLG00000007255.1)". The record is from RNAcentral. Lineage: Eukaryota; Metazoa; Chordata; Actinopteri; Anabantiformes; Osphronemidae.
CGCGCUUUUGAUACUGAAAAUGGCUCAUGAGGCUUCCCACUCUGGCCCUCUCUAAUCUGAUCAUCUCCUCUGCAGACUCACACAAAGCCUCCAAUAGUCCAGCCAAGGCCCCUUAAUCGACAUGUUAUUGCCCACAAUCGCAUUUACAGCGCUGAGGAAAAUCUGCACAGAUGCAAUUGUGUCGGCUGCUAAUCCAAUAAGCCCGCACUCACUUUUCUUUUGCUUGGCAUCUUUCAUCUCCAAAAACAAGGAAGAUUAUUCACCAGAGUGAAGAGUUCCUGCCACUACUCUUUCCAGUAGUGGACGAUGAAGCACAUUCAACCCAAGGUCGGACUCUGAGAAACGUCAUGAAUCAAGAGCUACACCUCAGACCAUCCGGGCCCCACUGAGCCUGGUAAAUGUUAAAGUUUAUGACAGCACAAUUAGAAAAAGACCCAACAAGAAAUCCUCUGUCUAAACGGAAAACAACAAGCAACAAGACACCUAACCUGCAGUCUGUGUCAAUCAGAAACUCCUCUUUACACCAGUGUUCAGAAAAAUGAGAGGUGGUCGUAUGGACUGUUGCACAUAACUGUACAGAAAUUGUUAAAUAAAUUAUAAAUCUGAACUUACA